CGAAUGCUUGCAUUCACCGUAAGAAGUUGAGUGGCGGACGGGUGAGUAACACGUGGGUAACCUGCCUAAAAGAAGGGGAUAACACUUGGAAACAGGUGCUAAUACCGUAUAUCUCUAAGGAUCGCAUGAUCCUUAGAUGAAAGAUGGUUCUGCUAUCGCUUUUAGAUGGACCCGCGGCGUAUUAACUAGUUGGUGGGGUAACGGCCUACCAAGGUGAUGAUACGUAGCCGAACUGAGAGGUUGAUCGGCCACAUUGGGACUGAGACACGGCCCAAACUCCUACGGGAGGCAGCAGUAGGGAAUCUUCCACAAUGGACGCAAGUCUGAUGGAGCAACGCCGCGUGAGUGAAGAAGGUCUUCGGAUCGUAAAACUCUGUUGUUAGAGAAGAACACGAGUGAGAGUAACUGUUCAUUCGAUGACGGUAUCUAACCAGCAAGUCACGGCUAACUACGUGCCAGCAGCCGCGGUAAUACGUAGGUGGCAAGCGUUGUCCGGAUUUAUUGGGCGUAAAGGGAACGCAGGCGGUCUUUUAAGUCUGAUGUGAAAGCCUUCGGCUUAACCGGAGUAGUGCAUUGGAAACUGGAAGACUUGAGUGCAGAAGAGGAGAGUGGAACUCCAUGUGUAGCGGUGAAAUGCGUAGAUAUAUGGAAGAACACCAGUGGCGAAAGCGGCUCUCUGGUCUGUAACUGACGCUGAGGUUCGAAAGCGUGGGUAGCAAACAGGAUUAGAUACCCUGGUAGUCCACGCCGUAAAACGAUGAAUGCUAGGUGUUGGAGGGUUUCCGCCCUUCAGUGCCGCAGCUAACGCAAUAAGCAUUCCGCCUGGGGAGUACGACCGCAAGGUUGAAACUCAAAGGAAUUGACGGGGGCCCGCACAAGCGGUGGAGCAUGUGGUUUAAUUCGAAGCAACGCGAAGAACCUUACCAGGUCUUGACAUCCUUUGACCACCUAAGAGAUUAGGCUUUCCCUUCGGGGACAAAGUGACAGGUGGUGCAUGGCUGUCGUCAGCUCGUGUCGUGAGAUGUUGGGUUAAGUCCCGCAACGAGCGCAACCCUUGUUGUCAGUUGCCAGCAUUAAGUUGGGCACUCUGGCGAGACUGCCGGUGACAAACCGGAGGAAGGUGGGGACGACGUCAAGUCAUCAUGCCCCUUAUGACCUGGGCUACACACGUGCUACAAUGGACGGUACAACGAGUCGCAAGACCGCGAGGUUUAGCUAAUCUCUUAAAGCCGUUCUCAGUUCGGAUUGUAGGCUGCAACUCGCCUACAUGAAGUCGGAAUCGCUAGUAAUCGCGAAUCAGCAUGUCGCGGUGAAUACGUUCCCGGGCCUUGUACACACCGCCCGUCACGGCCAUGAGAGUUUGUAACACCCAAAGCCGUAGAGUAUGAUCGAGGCUCAGGAC
Molecule: ribosomal RNA, 1402 nt
Filed under: Ligilactobacillus salivarius
Lineage: Bacteria; Bacillati; Bacillota; Bacilli; Lactobacillales; Lactobacillaceae
Description: bacterial SSU rRNA
Rfam family: Bacterial small subunit ribosomal RNA
Source: RNAcentral